Molecule: long non-coding RNA, 1133 nt
Organism: Vidua macroura (Pin-tailed whydah)
Lineage: Eukaryota; Metazoa; Chordata; Aves; Passeriformes; Viduidae
Exons: 6
Source: RefSeq, a predicted model, not a curated record
AAGCUCCCUUGGUGACACCCAGCCACCUCUGCCCUUGCCUAAAUCUGUAUUUUCAUCACGAAAGAGAAUUAAGAGCUCUUGGGAAUAAAGAUACUCCGUGGAAGGAAGUUAAUUACAAGUGGAAUGAAAAGGUUCCUCCUUCUGUAUCUGUCGCCUUCUCGCUCGUCCAUCGCACCACUCAUCGCCACAAGAGGCAGCCCUCUUCUAUUUCUGCUCUAUCCUUUGGAGCCGAGGUGGCCACACAGAGCCAGCAAUUCCAGUCCAGACCACUUCUCCUACCACCAGCCAAGAGCAGAGGAGGGUUCCAGACAUCACGAUGCUGGGAGAACAGGGACAGCUGCUGACCACCCUCAUGCCCCAAGGAGGAGGAAGAAGAGAAGGGGGAGGAGAGGGAAGGCUCCCAGCCCUCAGAGCAGCCAGGCCUGCCGGGAGCAGCCAUGUGCUGCUCCAUCCUCCCAAGUCCGCGCACACUCCGUGCACCCGGACGCUGCACCCGAAAGAUCUCAAUGCAAACCUAGCGAGGAGGGGAAACAAAACCUGCUGCUAAUUGAGGGAUUUUGGAGUAGAUUUAAUUAGGGCCAGAGCACUGGCGCAGGCUGCUGCUGCCACCUGCAGCACUCUCCACAGCCGCUGGCGUGGGCUCAGGGGACCCCGGGCUCCCACCCACUCCCGCCUGGGGUCCAGACAGGGAAUGAGGAACACCCGGAGUCCUGCAGGCUCACCCCCGUCACGCACCCACCCCCCCAAACCCGUUAUUUCCCAGCACAAUAAGCACCUCCAGCAGCGACGGAACCAAGGGCUUGGCCAAAAACUAAAGAGGAAGAAAAGCCAUAUUUUCUCCCUGGAGUCGGAUCGUCCCGAUCUCCCCUCGGAGGAAUCAAGAGGGGCCGAGUUAUCUAAUUAAUGCUGGCAGAAGCGGGAGGCCGAGGGCUGGGGGGCGGCGGCGGCCCACAAAGGCGGCGUGGGGAGCGGUCUCCCCGCCGCCGCCGCCGGCAUCCCCCGGCAAUGGGGCCCCACGCUGGGAGUGAGGGAGAACAUGGAGGCAGAACGACAGAGCCCAGCACACGUCAGGCAUCACAAAACCCUGACGGCACCAGGAGCGGCACAAUCCCAGCCCCGGGACGCUGCAGAUA